ACAUCCGGUUAAUGAGAUUGAUUAAAUUGCUUUGGUAUAUCACAGCUAGAGCGUUCGCAAAUUGAAGAGAUUCUCUAAAAGAAACUACUUAAAGAUGUCUGACCGAAAGGCAGUCAUAAAGAAUGCUGACAUGUCUGAAGACAUGCAACAAGAUGCGAUCGACUGUACUACGCAAGCAAUGGAGAAGUUUAACAUCGAAAAAGAUAUUGCCGCAUAUGUAAAGAAAGAAUUUGACAAGAAAUUUAAUCCAACAUGGCAUUGCAUUGUAGGCAGAAACUUUGGAUCUUACGUGACACACGAAACAAAGCACUUUAUAUAUUUCUACCUGGGACAAGUUGCCAUCUUGUUGUUCAAGUCUGGUUGAAGGAGCUGAGAGUGUAUUGUAACCAAUGAACUUAAACCC
Xenia sp. Carnegie-2017 is the source of this 403-nucleotide long non-coding RNA. RefSeq lists it as uncharacterized. NCBI's taxonomy places the organism in Eukaryota, Metazoa, Cnidaria, Anthozoa, Malacalcyonacea, Xeniidae. The transcript is spliced from 2 exons. The record is from RefSeq and is a predicted model, not a curated record.